Long non-coding RNA from Panthera uncia (snow leopard), 2150 nucleotides. RefSeq lists it as uncharacterized. NCBI's taxonomy places the organism in Eukaryota, Metazoa, Chordata, Mammalia, Carnivora, Felidae. The transcript has 3 exons. The record is from RefSeq and is a predicted model, not a curated record.
UCUUUCCUUCUUUUUUUCUCUUCCUUCUUUUCUUUCUUUCUCUUUCUUUUUUCUUUCUCUUUCUUCCUCCCUCCUUCCUUCCCUCCCUCUCUUUCUCUCUUACUCUUUCUUUCUUUCUUUCUUUCUUUCUUUCUUUCUUUCUUUCUUUCUUAAAAUUAUCUCCUCACCCUGUGUUGGGGUCUUUUUCAGCCCCUCUGCUCAUGCCUGACAUGGGGCAAUAUGACCUAGGACCCUACCAAAGUGAUGGCUUCUGCAGUAUACUCCCUGAUUUUUUUGACAAAGGACUUCUACUACAAAUGAUUUAAUGUAAAUAAAUAGAUUGAAUAAAUAAAGCCAAGUAAUGGAGGAUGCCGCUUCAUUAAGGGAACUUACUUAAAAACCAGUUCCUCCUUCGCCUAUCAGUUAACAGCUGAACACAGAAUUUCCUGUUGUUUUUCUUCUUUCCCCCUCAUAGAGGUUGAUGUCAUCACAGCCACAAAGAAGAAUGAUUUCCUACAGCAAUAGUGGAUCUAUGACGGCAUCAGGAUUACAAAAGCUGUUCUGGAGGCCACAGGUCCCAAAUCAAGGUGUCAGGAAAUCACAACUGAACUAUGCAAACUGCGCGGGGCAGCUGCUGCCAAGAAGAGCGAUACUGUCAUCAGAAGGAGGCGGACCCACGCGGGUGAGCAGGCUCAUGGUGCAGAGGAAGGUGGGGAGUUCCAUCUGGACGUGCCGAGUUGUGACACAGCAGCCCGCAGGUGACCCUGAUGUGGGCACUCCGGCCUCUGGAGCCUGGAGGAACCAACUUUGACAGAACUACUGGUGCCGUGUGUUCAAGGAGGCGCACGUGGGUGGUAGGAACAUGUUUACUCCAGCUGGGCUUGCUUGGAAGCAGGGAGUCUGGUUUGGGGUGGGGGUACAUGGGGGUGCGGGGUCUAAGGGCAUGAAUUUUUGGAAAGCAAGGCAGUGAGGAAAAGGACUGGUUCCUCCCCAGGGCAAGGUCCCUGCAGCUGGAGUGUGAAAUACACCUGUUCUGAUCUUUCAAGCAGAUCAGCAGCUUGACAUCCUCCCACUCCAGAGCCAGCAGCUUUCUUGAAGGAUGGGGCUAGUGUUCGGCUGAAGCUGUCACAGAGUGGCAUUUCUCACAAUAUUUGAAGAGCCCCUGGGAAAUGUUAACCAGAAACUCGGUUGGCUCUUUGACUUCGGUCUUUAUGGUUGAAAACCUUUCUAAAAUGGAUCUGUCUUUUUGCCACUUUAGAGACUAGAAUAACAUCUAAAGUAGCAGAGUUGUGAAAGAUUUAUUAUCUUUUACAAUGCAGAGUGGGUUUAAGAUGAGCGCUCUGAUAUUAUCACUCUCACCCUCUUGCAUUUCUGAUUUGUUUCUGAGAGAUUGGGGUGGAUGGAGUUCCUGGUGACUGCUGGGAUUUGCAUGUGCCCCGCACCCGACAGUGCCUAUGACACACUCUGCUAUAUGUGUCUGCCUCUGAUGUCCCCUGAACAGCUGUGCAUGAAAGUCAUCUGUCCAGUGGGCAGAUAACAGGAAGUAUGGCACAGUGUGAAUGCCACGAGGGCAGGGCUGGUUAGUUCAUGGUUUGACCUCUAAAUCCUGGAAUUAUAACAGUACCCAAUAAGCAUGUUGAAUGCAUGAAAGAACAUGGUUAUUGUAAUUGGAUUGGGGAUCAUUUUGGAUUCUAUAGGUCUUAGGGUUGCCAUUCUGAGCAUUAGUCCUCACUAUCUGGGACCAUAAAUAUAACAUGUAUAGAUAGGACUGGCUACAUAAUUUGUGGGGACCAGUGCAAAAUGAAAAUUUAGAGCCCCUUAUUCAAAAAUUAUUAAGAACCUCAAGACAGGGACAGCAGAACAUUAAAGCAAAUAUGGGGUCCUUCUGAAUGUGGGCCCCCAUGCUCCUGCCUGAGUCCCAUGAAGUCAGACCUAAAGGUAGGAGAUGGAAUGAAAUUUUACUAAUCCUGGCAACUUCUGGAAAUAGCUUUCAGAAAAUUUUUGCAGAAAUCCUUGAAAUGACCUUUUUAUGUGGUUUUCUCUUUUUUUCAUGAAAGAAGAGGGCAAUAUAAAGAUGGAGGGUGUCUGGGGGUGCCUGGGUGGCUCAGUCGGUUAAUUGUCUGACUUCAGCUCAGGUCAUGAUCUCGUGGUUUGUGGGUUCGAGCCCCACA